RNAcentral lists this ribosomal RNA (253 nucleotides) under uncultured bacterium. RNAcentral describes it as "partial 16S ribosomal RNA". It matches the Rfam family "Bacterial small subunit ribosomal RNA", at positions 524 to 776 of the family's 1533-position model. The record is from RNAcentral.
UACGUAGGGUGCGAGCGUUGUCCGGAAUUAUUGGGCGUAAAGAGCUCGUAGGCGGCUUGUCGCGUCGGAUGUGAAAGCCCGGGGCUUAACUCCGGGUCUGCAUUCGAUACGGGCAGGCUAGAGUUCGGUAGGGGAGAUCGGAAUUCCUGGUGUAGCGGUGGAAUGCGCAGAUAUCAGGAGGAACACCGAUGGCGAAGGCAGGUCUCUGGGCCACUACUGACGCUGAGAGACGAAAGCUAGGGGAGCGAAUGGG